This 74-nucleotide transfer RNA is filed under the name Acidobacteriota bacterium. RNAcentral describes it as "Acidobacteria bacterium (freshwater sediment metagenome) tRNA-Gln". It matches the Rfam family "tRNA". Rfam says of the family: Transfer RNA (tRNA) molecules are approximately 80 nucleotides in length. Their secondary structure includes four short double-helical elements and three loops (D, anti-codon, and T loops). Lineage: Bacteria; Pseudomonadati; Acidobacteriota. The record is from RNAcentral. RNAcentral also lists the same sequence under 1 other name.
UGGGAGAUCGUCUAAUGGUAAGACGGGUGGCUCUGGACCAUCUGAUCGGGGUUCGAAUCCCUGUCUCCCAGCCA